Molecule: non-coding RNA, 2132 nt
Organism: Manis javanica (Malayan pangolin)
Lineage: Eukaryota; Metazoa; Chordata; Mammalia; Pholidota; Manidae
Source: RefSeq, a predicted model, not a curated record
GCGCGCUCCCCUAUAAGUGGCUGAGGGAGUGAUGGUGUGGCUCUACCGCAGGCGAAGAGGGGCGAGUCCCCGGGGCUUCGUUCACACGGCCGCAGCGUUUACUGGUACUGAAGAUGUGAAAGGUGUAUGACCAUCUAUCUUCAGUUUGACAUGUGAUCUGAGAUUCUAAUGCUUCUUGAUGUGUAGAUUGGACUUGGGACUGCCAAUUGUGAGGAGAUGAAGAGUUUUUAGUUCCCAAUUUCAAGAAGAAAGGCCUGUGGACAUGGCAUACGUGGUGAACUAUGGCAUGAGAUUUGCUUCACAGAUUUCUGACUACAGGGAGUGAUCCCUCAGAAGGUUAAAGCUCAGAGAGAGAGCCUCUUUGCAAAACAUCCAAUCCCUGCUGCGGUAAACUCUGGAAUUUCUUCACAGUCCUGACCUAACAUUGGGUGUUUCUGGAAAUCAGAAGACACUUUCAUGAAAUCAGAAAGUCAUCCUAACAUCAUCAAAUGGGAGAAUAUAAGCUCCAUAUAAACACUAUCAUCCCAGUUUUUUAAAGCAAGUGAAAUAUGGAAAAUAUGAACACCAAGAAUAUCAUUGUAUGGGAAAAGAGUUCUAGCAGGAGGCCUUCCUUUAGAUGACACCACUAUCACUUCCUUCUCUUUUCCUAUUUGUUUCUACAUUGAGCAGUAAGAUGAUGAUCUCACCAGUAUGUUUAUGUGAAGUUUUUCUUUUGCUCUAUUCUAAAGCACAUCUAAUUGGCCUAAAGUCAACCAUAUACAUGAAAUUAUGUCAAAGAAAUCUCCAGAUCAACCCAGAUCAAUAUUUGUAACUCACCGAAUGGCUUUGAGCACACUGUGGAAGAACACUGCUUUGGUGCUUGAUCUCGAAAAUGAACUGAAAACAAUGGUACUAUGCCUUCAUGGUGCAGGAAAUUUCAAUAACAGAAAGAAGUAACUGAAAACUGUAUUCCUAAAUAAUUAUUUGGCAUUCCUGGGGUGCCCCAUGUAGGGAAAGUCAAUGCAUGCAUGACAAAAGAAGCUCCUCACUAAAGUUUGGAAGCCUGUUUAUGCUGGAGGAAGAAAUGAGAAAUCAGUUGAGUAAAAGAGAAUGUGAAAGCCAAGGUGGACACUGUGACUGCUUUGACCAAAAGAAUGUGGCAAAAGUGACAUUCUAAGAAGGCUGAACCCAGAUCUCAAAAGUACUGGCAGCUUCCUUUUUCAGCCUCUUGGAGCACUUACACUUAGGACAUUCCAUUUCAGAACUCAGCUGCCAUGCUGUGAGAAGACCAAGUCACAUGGAGAGGCCAUGUGUUGGCAUUUCUAUCAACAGCCUCUGCUGAGCACCCUACUGACAGGUAGCAUAAUUCUCCAUCACGUGAAUGACCCAUCUGAACAACCAGCCCAAUCAAGCCUUCAGAGACUCCAGGCCCAGCUUCUAACUGGCCGAAACCUAGGAGACAACAAAUAAGAACCACCGGGAUGAUUCAGUCAACCUGUAGAACUGUAGAGAUAAUAAUAAACUACUGUUUUAAGCCACUCAGUUUUUAGAGUGGUUUGUUACACAGCAAUAUAUAACCAGAACAUAAUGAGACUGCCACUUAACUCAUAACACACCCCUUUUCUGACCCUUCUUUCAGGUAAGGAGAUAGGUGAAAUCAAUAAGGAAAUUACAACAUGGCCUAGACAUUGGAGAAAAAAAUAUUUCAUGUUUAAUUUCAUUGGUCUUAAAACUGGAACCUAUAAAAAAGUAAUUCUUAGAGGAUAAUUUUACAAACUAUAGGUAAAUUUUUGGAUACAUUUACUGAAGAAUUGUGUUAAACAUUAAAUUUAAUCUACCCUAAAUGCACUUCACUUUCUCCAAACAUAUACUUUCUUUGGAAAGCUGAUAAUUGACUUACAAUUCAAAUUCUUUUUUUUUAUUAUUGAGUUACGUACAAUAAAAUGUACAAAUCUUUUUUUAUUAAGUUACAUACAAUAAAAUGUACAAAUCAUAGCUAUACAUAGUUCAGUAUAUUUUGAUGUGUAUAUACACUUAUGUGACCAUCACUAAGAUCAAGAUAUCAAACAUUUUCACUAAUUUUUCCCUGUUCAUUAUUUCAUUGAUCCCCCAUACUCUCUCCCCUGUGGCAACCACCAAGCUAUUCUCUGUGU